Molecule: non-coding RNA, 27 nt
Filed under: Rattus norvegicus (Norway rat)
Lineage: Eukaryota; Metazoa; Chordata; Mammalia; Rodentia; Muridae
Source: RNAcentral
UGUUCUCUGUGGUGAACCCUAAGAGCC